Molecule: long non-coding RNA, 318 nt
Filed under: Brassica napus (rape)
Lineage: Eukaryota; Viridiplantae; Streptophyta; Magnoliopsida; Brassicales; Brassicaceae
Description: long non-coding RNA (BNAP_LNC019399)
Source: RNAcentral
UGAUCCUUGCUUGGAUGAGGAUCCGUCGACGUGAAGGAGCCAGGUUGAAUUUGUUUCCUUGUUGGUCACGGUCCCCAUUGGUAGUUCAACUAAGAAGUCUGUGAGUACUUGGGAUUUCACACUUGUUCUCGGUCGGUAUUCGAUAUCGUACUCGCUCAACUCGACGAUCGUCCGCAGGGGGAAGGUCGUGAGGAUGACGAUCAUGUGGGAUUGGAAAUACGGUCUUAGCUUUCGCGCCGAUGUUAUGACUGUGUAUGCUAGUUUUUUCAUCAGCGGAUACCUUGAUUCAGCAUCUAGCAAGGUUUUGCUUAUGUAAAA